Pelobates cultripes (western spadefoot toad) is the source of this 419-nucleotide non-coding RNA. NCBI's taxonomy places the organism in Eukaryota, Metazoa, Chordata, Amphibia, Anura, Pelobatidae. The record is from the annotation of a GenBank genome assembly.
CCCAUCUAGGCAGCACGAACCCAGAUACCGGGCGACGGUACACAGCUAUCCCCCACCUUUCAGCCUCCUAUAAGCACCAUUAAGCACCACGAAUGGCGCACCGGAAUACCCAUAUUAGUAUCACCUCUCUUGAUGUCAAAGGACUCAACUCGCCAGGGAAAAGACAUGGGAUACUCCGCUGGGCUAACCGCACAGGGGCGGAUAUCAUACUGCUCCAAGAAACCCAUUUCACAGAUCAGAAGCAGUUCCCACUAGUUAACAGACACUUCAAACGCAGCUACCUAGCCAACUCACAGGAACCCAAAAAGAAGGGAGUAGCCAUCUUGCUACGCAACACAUGCCCACUUACGGACAUACAAACCCACAAGGAUUCCUCAGGCCGUUUUAUCUUCCUCACAGGCUACGCGGGGAACCUCCCC